Molecule: long non-coding RNA, 448 nt
Organism: Mercurialis annua (annual mercury)
Lineage: Eukaryota; Viridiplantae; Streptophyta; Magnoliopsida; Malpighiales; Euphorbiaceae
Exons: 2
Source: RefSeq, a predicted model, not a curated record
AUUGAAGGAGCAUCAUUGAUGAAUCCAUUAAAACUGCUAUAAAAUAAAGAGAAGGUAAGGAUCUAAUUGUGCAAAAAUCUUAAAUUAAAAUAUAAAAAUGGCAAACAAGAUUGUUGCACUAUUUGUUAUGUGCCUUGUUGUUGUUGCUGCUGUGCAGCUAAUUCCUCAAGCUGAGGCUGAUAUUUUUGCAAAUUGCUUCGUUCAAUGUGAAAAAGAUUGCAUCGCGGCCGGUCAGGGCAAAACCAACUGCGAAAUGAAGUGCGACACCGACUGCUUCGACAAAGAGAUCGCGGCUAAGAUGGUUCCCCAUCCUUGAGCUUUAUGAACACUUCUGGAGUGGAUCAUGGUUACUAAUUCAUAAUAUGUAUUAGAAUGGCACAACAAUACUUUCUUUGUAUUUUUGCUCAUUUGUAAUAAAAAAAAUACUAAUUAACCAUUUUAUUUUAAA